GGGCUAGCAAGGAUUGGAGGGAGGGGGGAUCACUGUCUGGGACACAAGAGGGAGAUCUGGGGGCAAGAAGGGAAGGGGUGAUAUGGGGGAUGGGCAGGAAGGUUGAGAUGAUGGUCUAGCGGCCAGCAGGCCCCGG
Molecule: long non-coding RNA, 136 nt
Organism: Lynx canadensis (Canada lynx)
Lineage: Eukaryota; Metazoa; Chordata; Mammalia; Carnivora; Felidae
Exons: 2
Source: RefSeq, a predicted model, not a curated record